This 422-nucleotide ribosomal RNA is filed under the name uncultured Hymenobacter sp. RNAcentral describes it as "bacterial SSU rRNA". It matches the Rfam family "Bacterial small subunit ribosomal RNA", at positions 355 to 774 of the family's 1533-position model. The record is from RNAcentral. Lineage: Bacteria; Pseudomonadati; Bacteroidota; Cytophagia; Cytophagales; Hymenobacteraceae.
UAGGGAAUAUUGGGCAAUGGGCGAGAGCCUGACCCAGCCAUGCCGCGUGCAGGAAGAAGGCUUUCUGAGUCGUAAACUGCUUUUGACAGGGAAGAAUAAGCCUUACGUGUAGGGUGAUGACGGUACCUGCAGAAUAAGCACCGGCUAACUCCGUGCCAGCAGCCGCGGUAAUACGGAGGGUGCGAGCGUUGUCCGGAUUUAUUGGGUUUAAAGGGUGCGUAGGCGGCCGUUUAAGUCUGGGGUGAAAGCCCGCUGCUCAACAGCGGAACUGCCCUGGAUACUGGAUGGCUUGAGUACAGACGAGGUUGGCGGAAUGGACGGAGUAGCGGUGAAAUGCAUAGAUACCGUCCAGAACACCGAUUGCGAAGGCAGCUGACUAGGCUGUUACUGACGCUGAGGCACGAAAGCGUGGGGAGCGAACA